Molecule: ribosomal RNA, 292 nt
Filed under: uncultured bacterium
Lineage: Bacteria
Description: partial 16S ribosomal RNA
Rfam family: Bacterial small subunit ribosomal RNA
Source: RNAcentral
GUGUCAGCAGCCGCGGUAAUACGUAGGGGGCAAGCGUUGUCCGGAAUCAUUGGGCGUAAAGAGCGUGUAGGCGGUCCGGUAAGUCGGCUGUGAAAGUCCAGGGCUCAACCCUGGGAUGCCGGUCGAUACUGCCGGACUAGAGUUCGGAAGAGGCGAGUGGAAUUCCCGGUGUAGCGGUGAAAUGCGCAGAUAUCGGGAGGAACACCUAUGGCGAAGGCAGCUCGCUGGGACGUUACUGACGCUGAGACGCGAAAGCGUGGGGAGCAAACAGGAUUAGAAACCCCCGUAGUCC